Molecule: microRNA, 24 nt
Filed under: Oryza sativa (Asian cultivated rice)
Lineage: Eukaryota; Viridiplantae; Streptophyta; Magnoliopsida; Poales; Poaceae
Also listed under: 1 other name
Description: osa-miR1883a
Source: miRBase by way of RNAcentral
ACCUGUGACGGGCCGAGAAUGGAA